This is a long non-coding RNA of Dendroctonus ponderosae (mountain pine beetle), 662 nucleotides long. RefSeq lists it as uncharacterized. The transcript is spliced from 2 exons. Lineage: Eukaryota; Metazoa; Arthropoda; Insecta; Coleoptera; Curculionidae. The record is from RefSeq and is a predicted model, not a curated record.
ACCAAUUUUACGGUGCUGUAGCAACCAAACAGCAAAUGACAGCGCCAUAAUUUUUUGACAAGCGUUAGUGUGCUAUAGUUUUUACAAGUCUACGGAAACUUUUUUACCUCGCAGUUUAAAAAAAGUUAUCGAAAUGCUGUAUGGCUCGGAAAUCGCAACGAACCAUUGUUAAAGAACUACGACAUUUACAUGUGAAUAAAAUGUUUGUGUAUCGGAGUAUUACACGUUACAAUGAUACUGGUAGCAUCAAAAAACGCCAUGGGGGUGGACAUACAAAAACAGCAAGAUCGCGAGAAAUGAUUCGAAAGGUGAAGGCUAGAAUCCUGCGCAAUCCACGAUAAAGCCCAGUGAAAUUAGCGAAAAGUGAAACUGGCCAAAGCCUGCAAGUCGACACACUCACUUUAGAAAAUCAUUGACUCCUACGGCAAAGAAGACACUGGCUUUUCCGGCCGUAAGUAGCAGAUAAUUGGCUGUUCAAUCCGAGAGACUUUCAAGGAAUUUGCGGUUCAAGGUCAUUUUUCCGAAAGUCACAAACUUUGCCUGAAUGUGGAAACCCCCUUUACUCUGCCUGAAAGACUUUGAUCCCAAUUUAAAUUGUUCCAAAGGUUCUGCUGAAUAACAAAGUAACAUAUAAAUAAUAGACUGCAUCCAAAUUUCCGAAA